RNAcentral lists this ribosomal RNA (253 nucleotides) under uncultured bacterium. Its description in RNAcentral is "partial 16S ribosomal RNA". It matches the Rfam family "Bacterial small subunit ribosomal RNA", at positions 524 to 776 of the family's 1533-position model. The record is from RNAcentral.
UACGUAGGAUCCAAGCGUUGUCCGGAUUUACUGGGUGUAAAGGGUGCGCAGGCGGACUGGUAAGUCAGAAGUGAAAUCUCGGCGCUCAACGCCGAAACGUCUUUUGAUACUGUCAGUCUUGAAUAAGCGAGAGAUUCGUGGAAUUCCGAGUGUAGCAGUGAAAUGUGUAGAUAUUCGGAAGAACACCAGUGGCGAAGGCAGCGAAUUGGCGCUUUAUUGACGCUCAGGCACGAAAGCAUGGGGAUCAAACAGG